Molecule: long non-coding RNA, 419 nt
Organism: Rana temporaria (common frog)
Lineage: Eukaryota; Metazoa; Chordata; Amphibia; Anura; Ranidae
Exons: 2
Source: RefSeq, a predicted model, not a curated record
CCAUUCUUGUCUGCUGACACUUUUUAUGUGGAUACGUUUGUUAUUUCACACACCCCUCAUGGUCUUGGAGCCCUCUGGGAGUGGGGGAGACCUAUGGGCAUUGAGCAUACCAUCUGACUUGGCCGCAUUGGAUCCGGCGCACACACGGGCUCUCUGGGGACGAUCUGGGCACUCCAAGCUUGGGAGAGGAAAAACCUCACUGCUAAUGUUCCCUGAAGAAGGAUGUAUUACUAAAAGCAUUUGAAACGCGUUGGAAACGACCAUCCAUACCCCCAGUUUUCUGCUGGGGUACAUGAUGAUCUCAUAGCAGCAGUUUUUUUCCAAUUUUUUAUUUUAGAUGUUGACAUACUACUGUGAAGUGUUUAUUCUUUGACUAUUUUUGUAAUACUAUUUUGUAAUAAAUUUCUAUAUUUUUAUGA